GACGAACGCUGGCGGCGUGCUUAACACAUGCAAGUCGAACGGUAAGGCCCUUCGGGGUACACGAGUGGCGAACGGGUGAGUAACACGUGGGUGAUCUGCCCUGCACCUCGGGAUAAGCCUGGGAAACUGGGUCUAAUACCGGAUAGGACUCCGGACUGCAUGGUCUGGGGUGGAAAGCUUCUGCGGUGUGGGAUGGGCCCGCGGCCUAUCAGCUUGUUGGUGGGGUGAUGGCCUACCAAGGCGACGACGGGUAGCCGGCCUGAGAGGGUGACCGGCCACACUGGGACUGAGAUACGGCCCAGACUCCUACGGGAGGCAGCAGUGGGGAAUAUUGCACAAUGGGCGCAAGCCUGAUGCAGCGACGCCGCGUGAGGGAUGACGGCCUUCGGGUUGUAAACCUCUUUCAGCAUCGACGAAGCGAAAGUGACGGUAGGUGCAGAAGAAGGACCGGCCGACUACGUGCCAGCAGCCGCCGUAA
Molecule: ribosomal RNA, 478 nt
Filed under: uncultured bacterium
Lineage: Bacteria
Description: partial 16S ribosomal RNA
Rfam family: Bacterial small subunit ribosomal RNA
Source: RNAcentral